GGUUGCCGGUUAAAGACGGUGGUUGGCUUCGAGUUUUAUUUGCCAGGUUGCACUAGUUAUCGCUGCUUGCAGCAAGUUAUCCGGCUGUUCUUCAGCUAGUUAUCGGUGUUGAUCCUACGUCGUGAAGAUCGGGACAACGUGUCGCAUCAUCUGGUAUCAAAGAUUUCGUUACCACGGUAGGAAUUUUAUCCCUAGCUACAUAUAUAUUUUUGCUUCGUCCUAUCCACCAAAAAGCCAGAAAAAUAUAUUGCUUAGACCUUUCUUUCAAUCUGUUAUUUUAGUGAGUUCGGUUAAGUCGCAGUCCAUUAGAGUAUUAGAGUCUUUGUUUUAGUUGCUGAUCAUUUAUCCUUCGCAUGUUCUUUGUGUCUCUUUUAUAUCUAAAAAAUCCCCACAAAAAAAUCUCUAUAGCCUAUAUCAUCCUUUGUGUUAACUUUGAUCCUAUCUAGCUACUGGUUGUUAUUUUAUUUCUGUCUUUAGUUGUGCAAGUGUCAUAAUCUGAUACCUGUGUUUAGUUCUAUAUAAAAAAAGUGUGUCAAAAAAAUAGAAAAGAAAGUGCAAAAAAAGUGAAGUGAAAAAAAGUUGAGAAAGGUUCAGAGAGAAAGUCUGAAAGAUUAGAUGGUUUAUGUGCACAAGUGCUGAAAGUUUCAUAUCAAGUUCUGCAACCAGUUUGCUAUUUUUGUUUGGUGUAAUAUUUUGGUUGGGUCUGAUUGCAACACUUGCAUCCCAAUCAUACUCCUUGUUUGCAUCAAAUCUGAAUUUUCUUUGUGCGUGUGUGUGAUCAUUUACUUAUUUUCAUAUCUUGUGGUCAGCACUCGGCAGAGAACUUCUAGUUUGGAUCGUUACUUAACUUUACAACAACUAGAAUUCAGAUUGCAUUCCUUGUGUAUUACUCCCCACCAAGCUCCACAUAAAAACCAUCGUAAUCGGUACUCUCUGUUCUUGUAUUCGCCUUGCCAUCACUUUCAGUUGCCACCACACAUUUGUUUUCCUUGUAAUCUGCAGCAGAGGAAUUCAUAAGAGCUUCGGUGGUUAGAGAGC
This 1038-nucleotide long non-coding RNA is filed under the name Sorghum bicolor (sorghum). Its description in RNAcentral is "long non-coding RNA (SBIC_LNC009852)". Lineage: Eukaryota; Viridiplantae; Streptophyta; Magnoliopsida; Poales; Poaceae. The record is from RNAcentral.